This 636-nucleotide long non-coding RNA is filed under the name Sinocyclocheilus grahami. RNAcentral's name for it is "lncRNA (ENSSGRG00000027229.1)". The record is from RNAcentral. Lineage: Eukaryota; Metazoa; Chordata; Actinopteri; Cypriniformes; Cyprinidae.
GCCAAUGAGAAGACAGAGUUGAAGACUAGAGAGCAGGAGCAUCACUUAUUCCUUCCCUCUUCUCUUGCUCUUCGCAUCCUUCCACAUCUCUACCCAUAAGGCUUAGCAGUCCUGUUCUAUUGUUGUCAAGGAUACACAGCCUUCCCCUGAUGCAAUGUAGACAGAGACGAGGAAGGAGUCCGAGAGAGCUAAAGUAAGGGAUGCUGAGGUCUGAGUGUGGGUCGCCCGUAUGCCCCUGAAGCCAUCUGCUCCGGAUCUACUGCAGAAAAGCAGUGUUUGACGCCAGCCCAAGGGCCCUAAGGACGUGAGACGUGGAGGAACAGGAGGCACAGGGUGAGGGGAGGAGGAGGGAGACAGGUGCCAGUGGAGAUCAUAUAGCAGAGGAUGGGAGCAGUGGAGUCCGCUGAGAACGGACAGCCCCCCUGUCCCUCUCAGGAGCGUCCCGAGAGCAUGAGCUCAGACUCAGACGGAGCAUUCGAAACCCCUGAGUCCACCACCCCUGUGAAGUCUGCUUCCCCACCAGUGCCCUCAACAGAGCCCCCCUGCACCAAAUCAGAGGGAUUGUCCCCAGAACACACAGGUACGUUUAGAUCUUCAUUCCAUUGCAAUUCACACCACAGAUUGUCUUAUGUGGAG